UACGAAUGGGGCAAGCGUUGUUCGGAAUCACUGGGCGUAAAGCGUACGUAGGCGGCUAUUCAAGUCAGAAGUGAAAGCCUGGGGCUCAACCCCAGAACUGCUUUUGAAACUGGAUGGCUAGAGUCCCGGAGAGGUUGGCGGAAUUCCGAGUGUAGAGGUGAAAUUCGCAGAUAUUCGGAGGAACACCAGUGGCGUAGGCGGCCAACUGGACGGGAACUGACGCUGAGGUACGAAAGCGUGGGGAGCAAAC
RNAcentral lists this ribosomal RNA (250 nucleotides) under uncultured archaeon. Its description in RNAcentral is "partial 16S ribosomal RNA". It matches the Rfam family "Bacterial small subunit ribosomal RNA", at positions 524 to 773 of the family's 1533-position model. The record is from RNAcentral.